UCCCCAAUAGCUCAGUUGGUAGAGCAAGUGGCUGUUAACCACUAUGUCGCGGGUUCAAUUCCAGCUUGGGGAG
Molecule: transfer RNA, 73 nt
Filed under: Dictyopteris divaricata
Lineage: Eukaryota; Phaeophyceae; Dictyotales; Dictyotaceae
Also listed under: 1 other name
Description: tRNA-Asn
Rfam family: tRNA
About the family: Transfer RNA (tRNA) molecules are approximately 80 nucleotides in length. Their secondary structure includes four short double-helical elements and three loops (D, anti-codon, and T loops).
Source: RNAcentral